This 298-nucleotide ribosomal RNA is filed under the name Salmonella enterica subsp. enterica serovar Kentucky. RNAcentral describes it as "partial 23S ribosomal RNA". It matches the Rfam family "Bacterial large subunit ribosomal RNA", at positions 1393 to 1693 of the family's 2925-position model. The record is from RNAcentral. Lineage: Bacteria; Pseudomonadati; Pseudomonadota; Gammaproteobacteria; Enterobacterales; Enterobacteriaceae.
AAGGCGAGGCCGAAAGGCGUAGUCGAUGGGAAACAGGUUAAUAUUCCUGUACUUGGUGUUACUGCGAAGGGGGGACGGAGAAGGCUAUGUUGGCCGGGCGACGGUUGUCCCGGUUUAAGCGUGUAGGCUGGUUUUCCAGGCAAAUCCGGAAAAUCAAGGCUGAGGCGUGACGACGAGGCACUACGGUGCUGAAGCAACAAAUGCCCUGCUUCCAGGAAAAGCCUCUAAGCAUCAGGUAACAUCAAAUCGUACCCCAAACCGACACAGGUGGUCAGGUAGAGAAUACCAAGGCGCUUGA